This 747-nucleotide long non-coding RNA is filed under the name Rattus norvegicus (Norway rat). RNAcentral's name for it is "long non-coding RNA NONRATT015663". Lineage: Eukaryota; Metazoa; Chordata; Mammalia; Rodentia; Muridae. The record is from RNAcentral.
GGCCACCAUUCUCUGGACUACGGCGACAUAAACUCAAAUGUGCAAACAAUAGAAUCUGAGUAUAGACUGUGGAGGUUGGCUGGUUUGUUUUCGCUGUUUGGGUUUGUUGGUUUUUGAGUAUGUAUGUGUGUGGUGUGGACACUUUAUGUGAAAGCUGAACUCAAGGGUCUCCAAGAUUGCUCAGUGGCCUCUCUUCUAGCCCCUAAAACUAUCAAACGUGAAGGAGAGUGUUUUCUGUCAAGACUGCUCAUCUGCUUUCCCAUGAUCCUCCCUCGUCCAUGGGGAGGAAAUGCCCUCACACUAAAUAGGUUCUAUAUGAUUGUGAUGACUCAGCCAGAGAAGAGAGAAAAACUUCUGUCUCUGGCCAAGACCGUAAGUCUAGAUUCAAAGAUGGAAGGUUUUCUCCCUGCUCUGUCAGUGGCUUAUUCUCUCGCUUAGCCGUGCUGGAGUCCAGAAGAAUCCAGCGCCCUGUGCUCUCAAGACAAGCAUUCUACCACCGAACUGUGUCUCAGCCACUGUGGGGGAGUGUCAUUUGGUUUUGGCUUGUUCUAUUUCUACCCCAUAAGUUUUGUUUUCCACGUAAUUAAUUUUGUUGCUGUUCAUGCUGUAUUAGGGUAUUGAAUCCAAAGCACAUAGUAGGCUCAUGUUUUACCACUGAGUCCUAAUUGUAGCCCUAAAAGAAAAAUGUAAUAUAGCCCUGACUUUCAAGAAGGGAUUAAAAAAAAUAAAUGUCCUAAUGCACUUUUC